RNAcentral lists this transfer RNA (62 nucleotides) under Mytella strigata. Its description in RNAcentral is "Musculus strigatus tRNA-Phe". The record is from RNAcentral. Lineage: Eukaryota; Metazoa; Mollusca; Bivalvia; Mytilida; Mytilidae.
GUGUAAGUAGCUUAAUUAGAGCAUCUUAUUGAAAAUGAGAAAGGUGGUUAAUUCCCUGCACC